UCUAGAAUCUUCCCAGUUAUUGAUGUCAGGCUGACUGCAGAAGUAAUUUUGGGUCCCCCUUUUUCAGCUUCAGAAGAUGGGGACAACAUUCUCUUUCCUCCAGUCUGCUAGAACUUCUGUUCUCCAGGAUAUCUGACAGCCCAUUUGGCUCGAGCUUUUCAAUGAAUAUCUCAUAGAGUUCGAACCAUUUCAACACAGUUUGUGGCAACCACAAAAAUGACAUUUCUGGAGUAUAAUAACUACUUUCAAAAUAUGUUAGACUAUGAUUCCCAUAAUCCUACUAUUCAACAAAUCUGGAGGGCAUCAGGUUGUGGAAGAAGGGUCAACAAGAUGCAACAGAAAUUCACAGCUGCUGUAAAAUGUAAGAUAUGCUGCUGACAUGACAGACACAGGGCUCCAGACCCCAAACUUCACUCCAACAACUGAAGUGGUGGCAUAAAGCCCCCCCCCCCCCACAAAAAAAAAUGCAAGGGAAGGAGAAGUAGAAGUGGGCAGGAUGUAAGUGUGAGAAAUAAAUAAAUAAAUAAUAAAUAAGUGGCUGACAGAUUGCAAAGAUGUAUAAGUUGCCUUUUAUAAUAAGUUGUUGCAUGGUAAUGUACAACUAUUUUUAAAAUCUUGAAAUAAACAGUAAAAUUAAUGCUAGUAAACAAUAAUAAA
Anolis carolinensis (green anole) is the source of this 657-nucleotide long non-coding RNA. RefSeq lists it as uncharacterized. The record is from RefSeq and is a predicted model, not a curated record. Lineage: Eukaryota; Metazoa; Chordata; Lepidosauria; Squamata; Anolidae. The transcript has 4 exons.